Bos taurus (domestic cattle) is the source of this 6664-nucleotide long non-coding RNA. Lineage: Eukaryota; Metazoa; Chordata; Mammalia; Artiodactyla; Bovidae. The record is from Ensembl.
CACACACUCCCGGCUGCCGCCGACCUCCGCAGGGCUCCGGAAUCUAAGUUUGAAACAGAAGGUACCUCUGCUGUCCUUAACCUCCCGGGAUCUUCCGCCCACCCUGCCCAGGGCCUCUUCUGAUGGAGCAGACAGGGCGGCUUCACAGGGGACUGUUCAGCUGCACCUUCAUCUUAAGCAACAUGUGUGCAUUGAUGGAGCUUACCUGGUGCCAAGAGAGUGGUGAAAGGCAUGGAAAUAAGGUUUCCAGUGGAAAGAAUCUCGUCGACCAGCUUGGGACACAUCCUACUCUAACUAAGGGGACAGGUUUUAAAAUUGAAACAUGGUUUCAGGAGGCUUACCCUAUGAAUAGUGUUGGGGGACCACUACCAGGAACAGGUGUCUGCUAUUGAGUGAUGCUGGGCUUCCCUGGUGGCGCAGUGGUAGAAGACCCACCUGCCAAUGCAGGAGACUCGAGUUCAAUCCCCUGGAGAAGGAAAUGGCACCCCACUGCUGUAUUCUUGCCUGGGAAAUCCCAUGGACAGAGCAGCCUGUCUCUGUCCAAGAGGGCUACAGUCCAAGGGUUGGCAAAGACUCGGACAUGACUUAGUGACUAAAUAACAACAACAUAGAGUGAUGCUAUGACCUUUCAUUGGAAGCAUGCUUCUGUAAGAGUUGAGCAUGAGCACACUAUUGUUGAAUGAACGGAUAACUAGGAAGCUUUAAGGCAACCUCGUUAGAGCCCGUACUCUUGUCCCUUUCCCAAACUCCUUCAGUCUCCCAGUUCUAUAAAAACCUGCAAAUGAAGGAAGCAGGAUACACAGUGGUUAUUAGCAUACGUCUGGGUUAAAUUGUCUUAUUUUGGAUCCUGUCCUGGAGGACUUGAGCAAGUGAUGGAACCUACCUGAGCUGCAGGUUUCUCACCUCUAGAAUGGGGAUCAUGAGGAUUAACUAAGAUAACAUGAGUAAAGUGCUCAGAACAAUGCACCUAAUUAUGUUGAAAAAGUGAAGGUGCAGUCGCUCAGUUGUGUCCAACUCUUUUCAAACCCAUGGACUGUAGCCAUGUGUCUCCUGCAUUGUAGGCAGUUUCUUUACUGCUAAACCAUUGGGGAAGCCCUGCAGAUUGGGUCAAAGGAAAGAGAAGCAGAAAGUGGAGUGGGUUCAGAUACCAAACUCAAAUACCAGGCUUCUCUGUCUAUGGGAUUCUGCAAGCAAGAAUACUGGAGUGGGUUGCCAUUCCCUUCUCCAGGAGAUCUUCCCAACCCAGGGAUUGAACCCAGGUCUCCCACAUUACAGGCAGAUUCUUUACCAUCUGAGCCACCAAGGAAGUCCAGUUAUGUUAAGAACAUAAGUUUUAAACAAAAAUUAACUGAUGGAGGGGGCUUCCUGGUGGCCCAGUGGCUAAGACUCUGUGUUCCUAAUACAAGGGGGCUCGGGGUCAAUCCCUGUUCUGGGAACUAGAUCCCACAUGCCACAACAAAGACCCGUUGCAGCCAAAUAAAUAAAUAAAAUAAUUUUUUAAAAGAAUUAGAAAAAGAAAGAAAAUUAACUGAUGGAGCUGAAGUUGACAGGAGCGGAUCCAAAUGUCUUUGAUAAACAGGGCAAAAGAAAGAUGAAUUGUCAGAUGGGCAAGUGGUCAGCUUGGUUCUCCAGAUAUCUCCAGGAACGUGGCCUUUGGAAUAAGAGGUUUGGGGAGAAAAAUAAGCCACGAAGAUCUUAUGGCGCCAACAGGGACUUUAGAGAUCACAGGUCAUAUGCGCCAGUCACACUCCCUUUUGUUCCUAGAGAUUUAAUAUCUACCAGCCUAUUAAAUGGUCAUGAUUUGGAGGAGAGAAGACAAGAAGAGGAAUUACUUUCAGCUGGCCCCGGUCUUUAAAUAACCCGGGGUACAGCAUCUUUCAAACACAAAGGAGACCAUGUGUAAAACAUUAGUUAAAUUCAGAUAUAAAUCUAGUCUUUGACCAGUCCAAAGCUAAUCAAUAUGCUUUUCUACUCUCUUUGAACUUUGCGUUUUCUGGCAACAACGAAAACCCCAAACCCCAUCCAAAACCAUCAUCCAGACAGCCCAACUCCUAUGCUCCCCUCUCUCGUGUCACAUAUUGUUGACAGAACUCCUCUCGUUACCACAUUCAUUCCAGUGGUGAUUCAAAUUCUUCUGCAGAAAUGGACUUGAAAGACAGAAAAUUGCUCUUGUAAUCACUUAAUAAGGAACCCUGGACAAGGAAUACAGGACUAUGAAUAUAGAUUUACUCUUAGCUUUUAUGGACGCAUUUCCCUCGGUUAUUUUCAUUGAAAAUCAUGAUGAACUAAUUUAAAUAGCAAGGUAAACUGAGAUGGAAAAUGAUCCAUAAUAAGAAUUUCGAUGGAAAAUAUAGAUUGGCCUGGUCUUCAGCACAUCAAGGAUUCUCUUGGUUUCAAUUGCAAAUUCGGAGAGAUUUGAAAUGUGUUUGUUUGAAUGUGUCAGUUUUAGGCAGAACUAAACUACGCUGUCCCUUUCCAAAAAUCAAGAAUCUGCCCUGGAAAAAAAUCAUGCAGUAUGAUGUGCAAAGCAGAGGGGGAGGAAAGAAAGUAGUGGGUGAGAAAGACCCACCCAAGGACUGCAGCCAGCUUCCCCAGGAAGAUUCAUGACCACGCUUCAAUCCUGUCCUGUGAUUCUUUCCAAGGGAUUUUACUAUAAAUCACUAAAAGCAACCGCUGCUGUUACCAGAGCUAUCUUUGCCUCAAAAAGAAGAAAAUUCAGGACAUGCAAUAUAAUCCUCUCGCUAUCUAAGAGAGAAACCAGCCCAUUUGUCAUAAGAACUGAAAACACCAGCUAUAUAGUAUAUUAAACAUUAGCGUUUCAUCUUUCAUAAAAGGGGGGGCACGCAUAGGAUGUGAUUGGAUGCAACCAUGAUAAAGGGACUUAAAUUGGAUUGACUAACUAUAACCUACAAAAACCAUUGUAGUACAAAUCCUUUUCAGUAAAAGGUAAGAAAAUUCUAUCAACACUUUUUUUUAACCACUCUGAGCUAUUCACAACAAAUAGAUCCUUACUCUUAGCAGAUGUAUAAGCAUUUAUGUAAUGCAGGGGUUUCAUAACUUGAAGAGUGUCAUCAAAGUCAGAGCUGAUACAGUGUUCCUCCCUUUGACUUGAAUGCCUUCUUCUUCCCUAUAUAGGGUGAUUAUUGCUUCACAGUGUCCCCGGUAUGAAAAGACUUUGAAAGGUCAUUUGCCUUGCAUCCCAACUAGCUGCAUUAGCAUUACCAAGGAGAGGCUGGUUAGAAAUGCACAGUCUUGGGGUCCACCCCAGUCUUACUGGCUCAGCUUCUGCAUUUCGACAGGAUCCCCAGGUGAUUCAUAGGCGUAGUGAAGGUGAAACUGUGCCACCCUAAGCCAUCCUGCUGCCUCUGAGCAAAGCGUGCACAUCGGAAUGGAUAGACUGGUCUGCUUCAGCCAAUUUCAGGUCCUUUAUAGUUUAUCCUGUGUGAGUCAUUGAGAGGAAAGAGGAAAUGCACUCAUUUAAGGAGGUCUUGCUUAGCCUAACAAAGCUAGCAACUUCUUCAAUACAUUCAGGUUCCUAUUCUUGGAAGAACUGCUGCUCUGUGUCCUGUUGCUUGGUCAUGUUGACUCUUUACGACCCUUUGGACUGUAGCCCACCAGGCUCCUCUGUCCAUGGGAUUUUUCAGGCAAGAAUACUGGAGCGGGUUGCCAUAUCAUUCUCCAAGGAUCUUCCUGACUCAGAGAUCGAACCCGAGUCUCCUGUGUUUUCUGCAUUGCAGGCGGUUUCUUUACCGCUGAACCAUUUGGGAAGCCCUGCAGGUUGGGUCAAAGGAAAGAGAAGCAGAAAGUGGAGUAGGUUCAAAUACCAAACUCUAAUAAAGUAAGGGUAGCACAGAAGCUGAGACUGUGAGGGAUGGGGAGAACAGUUUCACCAAAUUACCAGUUCCAAAAUUGUCUCUGCACUGUGGGUGAUUUAUAGCCCUGGAAGCUUAAAGGCUUGAGUCUCUUGCUGUAUUUUAUUUCAGAUUAGGAAUUUUUAUCUAGUACUUUCCUGCAGUUUAAAAUGAAGGCCCUGGAACUACAAAAAUGAAUUUAUCUGGUGGGCUGUGUUCAUUUUGUAGUUAUCCUGUAGGUUUCAGAUUUGUUACAGAACUGGAACUGGACAAUAGAAAAACUCUGUUGGUUAAUGGCAGCCAACUUCUAAACCAAAACUGAAGGACAUAGGAUAAUUAUGUAUAUGUUUCAGUGUCCUCAAAUUUAGCUGCACAUUAGAGUCCCCUAGAUAAAAGGUUUUUACACAGCUUUCUUGAGGUAUAACUGACAUAUAAUAAGCUGUAUAUAUUUUAGGUGUACAGUAGGAAGAAUUUUGAUAUGUUAUACAUCUGUGAAACUAUCACCAUGAUCAAGCUAAUCACCCCUAAAGUUUCCUUGUGCCCCUUGGCAACUCCUCCACCCAUUCUGCGACAACUAAUUGCUUUCUGCCACCAUAGGUUAGUUUCCAUUUUCUAGAAUUUUAAUUUAAUGGAACUAUACUCUUUUUUUUUUUUUUUUGAGGGGGGAGACCUGAUUUCUCUUACUCAACAUAAUUAUUCUGAGAUUCAUCCACAUUGUUGCCUAUAUUACUACUAGUUUGUCCUUUUUAUUGCUGAGUAAUACUCCAUUGUAUGAAUAUACCACAAUUUAUCUUAACCAUUUACCAGUGAAAGACAUUUGGGUUGUUUCCAGUUUUAAACAACUAUGAAUAGCACUGCUAUAAACCUCCAUGAACAAGUAUGAGCAUAUGAGUUUUCAUUUCUCUAGGUAAAUACCUAAAAGUGGGUAUGGUAAGUAUACAUUUAACUCUAAAAGAAACUGCCAAAUUGUUACCCAAAGUGACUGUACAAUACCAUUUUGCUUGCUUACCAGAAAUGUAUGAGUUCCAGUUGCUCCACAUCCUCUCUAGGAAUUGGAUUGGUAUUGUCAGUAUUUCUAACUUUAGCUGUUUGAAUAGAUGUAUAAUUGUAUCUCCAUCGUGGUCUUAGUUUACAUGUUCCUAGUGACUGCUGUGGAGAAGGAAACGGCAACCCACUCCAGUGUUCUUGCCUGGAGAAUCCCAGGGACGGUGGAGCCUGGUGGGCUGCUGUCUCUGGGGUCGCACAGAGUCGGACACGACUGAAGCGACUUAGCAGCAGCAGCAGCAGCAGCAGCAGCAGCAGUGACUGCUGACGUUGAGAAUCUUUUCAUGUGUAUGUUUGCCAUCCUUAUAUCUUUUUUGGUGAGAAUCUUUGAAGUCUUUUGCUUAUUUUUUAAUUGGGUUUUGUUUUCUUAAUUGUUGAGUUUUAAGAGUUCUUUAUGUAUUCUGAAUAUAAGUCCUUUGUCAGAUAUAUGAUUGAUAAAUACUGUCUCUCAAAGGGCAGAAGUUCUUAAUUUUGAUAAGGUUUAAUUUAUAUUUUCUUUAAUGGGUUGUACUUUUGGUGGUAUAACUGACCAAAGAUCACAAAGAUUUUCUUCUAGGUUAUUUUUCUAGACAUUUUAUAAUUUUAGGUUUUAUAUUUAGGUCUAUAAUCCAUUUGGAGUUAGUUUUUAUGUAUGAUGCAAGAUAUGGAAUGAUGUUUACUUUUUGCAUAGGGAUAUUCACUAUUUAUUGAAAUGACUGACCUUUCUCUAUUGAAUUGCCUUUGUACCUUUGUGCAAAAGCCAAUUGACCAUAUAUUUGUGGGUCUUUUCGAAAGUCUCCAUUCUGUUCCACUGAUCUAUCUUUAUACCAAUAUCACAUAGCCUUGAUUACUAUAGCUUUAUUAUUAGUCUUGAAAUCCAACUGUAUUCUUUCUCUAAAUAAGAAGUUUAGAAUUAACUUAAAUUUUACAAUAUUUGUCAACUUCUGGGUUUAAAAAGUCUAAUGGGAUUUUGAUUGGGAUUUGAUUUUAUCAAUCUAUUUGGGAAGAACUUACAGCUUAACAAUUUUAAAUAUCCCAAUCCAAGAACACAGUAUAUCUCUCAUAAGUGUGAUCAUUUUUUAAUCUCUUUUCAGCAAUGUAUUUUCAGUGUACAGGUCUUAUACUGCAUUUUUGAGAUUUAGUUUUAAGUAGUUGAUACUGUUAUGCCCUUGUAAAUGUUUAUGUAAGUUCAGUUUCCAACUGUUUGUUGUAACUAUUUAGAAAUACAGUUGAUUUUUUAAAAUAUUGAUCUUAUGUCCUGCAGCCUCACUAAACUCAUUUAUUAGUCUUAUAGCUUUUUUAGGUUCCAUAGAAUUUUCCACAUAGAUAUUAUGUUUUCGAGAGUAAAGACAGCUUUACUUCUUCUUGUCUAGAGUGGCUUCCUUUUAUAUAUUUUUUCUUGCCUUAUUGUACUUGCUAGAAGCUGUCUAGAGUGGCUUCCUUUUAUAUAUUUUUUCUUGCCUUAUUGUACUUGUUAGAAGCAGUAAAUUGCUAAAUAGAAAUAGUGACAGUGGACAGCCUUGCCUGUACUUGGUCUUAGAGGAAAGAGAGCCAGUCUUUUCCAUUAAGUGUGAUGUUAUCAUUAGGGUUUUCAUAGAUGCCCUUUCGCAAGUUGAGAAGUUCCCUACUUUGCUGAGAGUUGCUUUUUUAAAAAAUCAGAAAUGGAUCUUGAAUUUUGUCAAGUCUGCAUCUAUUGAGCUAUUCUUAUGGUUUUUCUUUUAAGCCUGUUAACAUGGUGAAUUACACUGAUUUUCAAAUAUCAAACUAACCUUGAAAUCUUGAGGUAAAUC